This is a long non-coding RNA of Nicotiana tabacum (common tobacco), 730 nucleotides long. RefSeq lists it as uncharacterized. The record is from RefSeq and is a predicted model, not a curated record. NCBI's taxonomy places the organism in Eukaryota, Viridiplantae, Streptophyta, Magnoliopsida, Solanales, Solanaceae.
CAAUUCAUUUCCACCAUUGUAUUUUUCCUUUGUUACAGUAGUUUAUGCCUGAUUUUAUUGCUCCAAAUUUUACAUUUCUGACAGUUACAAGAAUGCCAGUAAGUAGGAAGCUUCAUGGUCGAUGAUGAGAUGUGGUAAUUGGCAAGCCACGACUUCAGUGAAGGAGCUUUCUAAGAAGUUAACUAAAUGGGGGACCAAUUCCAUGAAUUAAAUGAAGAUGUUCUUUUGGGUCCAAUGGCAAAGAAGAUGAAGGAAAAUUUGAUAAGUAUUGGGGUGAUCCAGAAAAAAUUUGGUAUAAUCAUGCCUCGACUUUGUGGUCUCAAAGCUAUCUCACAUGUUUGGAGUCACUAUGAAAGGAUUGAAGAAGGUGAUGAUGGAUGGUAGAAAGUAAUUAGUCAUUGUCAUCUUGUUUUAUGUUACAAUGUACGAUACUAAGUCCUUAAUGAGGCAUGUUGAGUAUUGUUUGGAGCGCAAUUUGGUGAAGCCUAUAAGGAUUGAGUAGUUGUCUUGUUAACAUGAAUUUGAACUAUUAGUACUAAGGUAUACCUGCUCCAUAUCCGCAGGCCUUAGAGUCAUCUAUUCCUUUACCUUUACUUCCUGUUGUAUUUUCAUUCAGAUAGUGAUGUAGUAGACACUUUAGCUUACUCUGUAGAGCGUAUGACUCAGUUUCACAGGUCUCGGGGAGUGUAUUGUUGAGAUUUUAUUUUCUAAAGUUUAUAUACGUUUAUCA